GACGAACGCUGGCGGCGUGCUUAACACAUGCAAGUCGAACGGAAAGGCCCCUUUGGGGGUACUCGAGUGGCGAACGGGUGUGUAACACGUGAGUAACCUGCCCUUGACUUCGGGAUAACUUCAGGAAACUGGGGCUAAUACCGGAUAGGAAUCCUUGCUGCAUGGUGGGGGUUGGAAAGCUUCGGCGGUUUUGGAUGGUCUCGCGGCUUAUCAGCUUGUUGGUGGGGUAGUGGCUUACCAAGGCUUUGACGGGUAGCCGGCCUGAGAGGGCGACCGGCCACAUUGGGACUGAGAUACGGCCCAGACUCCUACGGGAGGCAGCAGUGGGGAAUAUUGCACAAUGGGCGGAAGCCUGAUGCAGCAACGCCGCGUGCGGGAUGACGGCCUUCGGGUUGUAAACCGCUUUCAGCAGGGGCGAAGCUUGUGGUGACGGUACCUGCAGAAGAAGCACCGGCUAACUACGUG
Molecule: ribosomal RNA, 465 nt
Filed under: uncultured bacterium
Lineage: Bacteria
Description: partial 16S ribosomal RNA
Rfam family: Bacterial small subunit ribosomal RNA
Source: RNAcentral